GACGUAGGGUGCGAGGGUUGUCCGGAUUUAUUGGGCGUAAAGAGCUCGUAGGCGGCUUGUCGCGUCGACCGUGAAAACUUGGGGCUCAACCCCAAGCCUGCGGUCGAUACGGGCAGGCUAGAGUUCGGUAGGGGAGACUGGAAUUCCUGGUGUAGCGGUGAAAUGCGCAGAUAUCAGGAAGAACACCCGUGGCGAAGGCGGUUCUCUGGGACGGUACUGACGCUGAGACGCGAAAGCGUGGGGAGCGAACAGG
This 253-nucleotide ribosomal RNA is filed under the name uncultured bacterium. RNAcentral's name for it is "partial 16S ribosomal RNA". It matches the Rfam family "Bacterial small subunit ribosomal RNA", at positions 524 to 776 of the family's 1533-position model. The record is from RNAcentral.